RNAcentral lists this ribosomal RNA (177 nucleotides) under Microbotryum lychnidis-dioicae p1A1 Lamole. RNAcentral describes it as "eukaryotic large subunit ribosomal RNA". It matches the Rfam family "Bacterial large subunit ribosomal RNA", at positions 1801 to 1979 of the family's 2925-position model. Lineage: Eukaryota; Fungi; Basidiomycota; Microbotryomycetes; Microbotryales; Microbotryaceae. The record is from RNAcentral.
UAUCCAAUGAAAACACAACGGUCUGCUAACACAAAUUGUGGUUGUAUAGAUCGUGAUUCCUGUCCAAUGCUAGGUGAUAUAGGGACUCAUUUACAAAAAUAAGUGAGAGCUAGAAUAACUAGUCAAUGACGGUCUUAACUAUAAGGAUCCUAAGGUAGCUCCGGAUGAUUGUUUUAA